GCUCGAUCAGCUUUCUGUUUUCAUUGCCUUACGAUGCCAUGAGUGGAACUAUUGUCAAAUCAGAGUUCACUCCCCAGCUUUUCAGUCUUUCCCCUAAUUCUUGCUCUAUCAGAGGUCGAGGACAACAGUAUAAUGAUUCAUAGGUUCUACUUCCUGGCAAGUAAUCAUUUUCCCACGGGCCCUUGUGAAUUGAUGAAUAUGAAGACACUAAGAAAGCAGAAAUAGAACUGAGAAGAAUGAAAUAACUGUCUCUACCUUUCUCGAAUUGUCUAAUAUGGAAAGAAUGAAAGACAGCUAAUAAGCAACUCUCUGCAAGAAGACAUAUGGCUUAGAAUCUACUUGGAGAGAGUCAAACACAGAAUCCCUUUGAAUUUAAUGGCCAUUCCAGGUGAUUUGAACAGCCAAAUAAGAAACAGGUCCUCUUCAAUGUACAAUCUGCCAAGUAUGAAGUCUGAAUGACCAUCAUUAUUAUGUAUUUAAUGUGCAUAGAAAAUCUAUCUGCAACCUUCCAGAGUGUACCAGAAGUUUGGAAUGUACAUUAUUAUUGGCUCCAUCUCAAACCACUCAUAAAUCAAAGAAAAUAGCAGUUCCAGAGGAAUCAUCAUAGAGGCUUCUAGGCCCCCAUGCUGUGUGAACCUGGUGAGAAAGGGAAGUCUGCUCUCACUGGACACUGGAACUGUUUGUCUCUGUCUCUGCUGUACUUUCCCUGCCUCUACCUCACUUAGUAAAGAAAUCAUCUUUGCUUGAUAACUAAAACAACCAAUAAGGCUGAGAAAGGGGAAAACCCACAUCUGGAUUUAAAUACAAGGUAUUGGGCCAGCUGCUGGGGAUUAAACUUUGAACAAAACAGAUAGAAUCUAUGUCCUCAUGGGAGUGGCUAAUGGGAGAGUCGGAACAAAAAAAUAGCCAAGGAUAAUCCAGCAAAUGAUUUGGUGAAUGCUAUCAAAGAGAGAAAUACACAUGCUCUGGGAACACCAAGUAGGUACCUAAUACCUAACCUGUACCUGGGGGGCUGGAAAGGGCUUCUUGGAAGAGGCAGAGACUAAAAUGAAGAAUAAGCAUAAGUUAAGACAAAGCUGGGGUGGGGUCAGAAAGAGUGUGAUAGGCCAACGCAGCAACAUGAGCCAAGACUCAAAAAUAAGAGACAGUGUGGCACAUUUGAUGUAGGAAAGACAUUUAGCUGGGAUAGAAAGAAGGCUAGUGUUGGGGCUGAAUGAGGUUGCAUAAAAGUUUGUAAGCCAAGUUAAGGAAUUGAUCAAAUUUAUAUUUUAGAAUGAUCACUCUGACCUCAGCAUUACAUGACCUGAAGGGGUUAAGCCCAUACAUCUGUAGAGAGACCCGUUAGAAUAGGACUGCAGUAAUAUGGUGAGAGACACUGGUGCCUAACUAGGCUGGUGAUCAUAG
RNAcentral lists this long non-coding RNA (1404 nucleotides) under Homo sapiens (human). RNAcentral's name for it is "non-protein coding LINC02541:58". The record is from RNAcentral. Lineage: Eukaryota; Metazoa; Chordata; Mammalia; Primates; Hominidae.